UACGGAGGGGGCUAGCGUUGUUCGGAAUUACUGGGCGUAAAGCGCACGUAGGCGGUUUUUUAAGUCAGGGGUGAAAUCCUGGAGCUCAACUCCAGAACUGCCUUUGAUACUGAGGAUCUUGAGUUCGGGAGAGGUGAGUGGAACUGCGAGUGUAGAGGUGAAAUUCGUAGAUAUUCGCAAGAACACCAGUGGCGAAGGCGGCUCACUGGUCCGGUUCUGACGCUGAGGCGCGAAAGCGUGGGGAGCAAACAGG
Molecule: ribosomal RNA, 253 nt
Filed under: uncultured bacterium
Lineage: Bacteria
Description: partial 16S ribosomal RNA
Rfam family: Bacterial small subunit ribosomal RNA
Source: RNAcentral